Molecule: transfer RNA, 76 nt
Filed under: Geothrix sp.
Lineage: Bacteria; Pseudomonadati; Acidobacteriota; Holophagae; Holophagales; Holophagaceae
Also listed under: 10 other names
Description: tRNA-Asn
Rfam family: tRNA
About the family: Transfer RNA (tRNA) molecules are approximately 80 nucleotides in length. Their secondary structure includes four short double-helical elements and three loops (D, anti-codon, and T loops).
Source: RNAcentral
UCCGGAGUAGCUCAGGGGUCAGAGCGGGUGACUGUUAAUCACUAGGUCGGGGGUUCAAAUCCCUCCUCCGGAGCCA